GGAAUUUUGCGCAAUGGGCGAAAGCCUGACGCAGCAACGCCGCGUGUGUGAUGAAGGUCUUCGGAUUGUAAAGCACUUUCGACCGGGACGAACACCCCUUGGCUAACAUCCAAGGGUCUGACGGUACCGGGAGAAGAAGCACCGGCUAACUCUGUGCCAGCAGCCGCGGUAAUACAGAGGGUGCAAGCGUUGUUCGGAAUUAUUGGGCGUAAAGCGCGUGUAGGCGGCUUUGCAAGUCGGGUGUGAAAGCCCUCAGCUUAACUGAGGAAGUGCGCCCGAAACUGCAGAGCUUGAGUACCGGAGAGGAUGGCGGAAUUCCCCAAGUAGAGGUGAAAUUCGUAGAUAUGGGGAGGAACACCGGUGGCGAAGGCGGCCAUCUGGACGGAUACUGACGCUGAGACGCGAAAGCGUGGGGAGCAA
This 420-nucleotide ribosomal RNA is filed under the name uncultured bacterium. RNAcentral describes it as "bacterial SSU rRNA". It matches the Rfam family "Bacterial small subunit ribosomal RNA", at positions 358 to 771 of the family's 1533-position model. The record is from RNAcentral.